AAGUCGUAACAAGGUUUCCGUAGGUGAACCUGCGGAAGGAUCAUUAACGAGUUUACUGAGUUGUCGCUGCCCUUUCGGGGGAUGUGCACGCUCUUUCACUCAUCUAUACACCUGUGAACCUAUGCGAGUCAAUGGGGGAUUAGCGAAAGGAAAGCCGAAAGGUGAUUUGAUUAGCGUUCUCUACUGGCUCGAUUUUAUAUAAACUCUUGUAUGUCUCAGAAUGUCUACUUUGCUUAACGCAAUAAAUACAACUUUCAACAACGGAUCUCUUGGCUCUC
This 278-nucleotide unclassified non-coding RNA is filed under the name air metagenome. Its description in RNAcentral is "partial contains small subunit ribosomal RNA, internal transcribed spacer 1, and 5.8S ribosomal RNA". The stretch from base 1 to 46 matches the Rfam family "Eukaryotic small subunit ribosomal RNA", at positions 1786 to 1831 of the family's 1831-position model. The record is from RNAcentral.